RNAcentral lists this ribosomal RNA (308 nucleotides) under uncultured bacterium. Its description in RNAcentral is "partial 16S ribosomal RNA". It matches the Rfam family "Bacterial small subunit ribosomal RNA", at positions 505 to 807 of the family's 1533-position model. The record is from RNAcentral.
GAGACAGCAGUAGCCGCGGGAAUACAGAGGGUGCGAGCGUUAAUCGGAUUUACUGGGCGUAAAGCGUGCGUAGGCGGCUUUUUAAGUCGGAUGUGAAAUCCCUGAGCUUAACUUAGGAAUUGCAUUCGAUACUGGGAAGCUAGAGUAUGGGAGAUGAUGGUAGAAUUCCAGGUGUAGCGGUGAAAUGCGUAGAGAUCUGGAGGAAUACCGAUGGCGAAGGCAGCCAUCUGGCCUAAUACUGACGCUGAGGUACGAAAGCAUGGGGAGCAAACAGGAUUAGAUACCCCCGUAGUCCCUGUCUCUUAUAC